Molecule: ribosomal RNA, 253 nt
Filed under: uncultured bacterium
Lineage: Bacteria
Description: partial 16S ribosomal RNA
Rfam family: Bacterial small subunit ribosomal RNA
Source: RNAcentral
UACGUAGGGGGCAAGCGUUAUCCGGAUUUACUGGGUGUAAAGGGGGCGCAGACGGCGAUGCAAGCCUGAUGUGAAAGCCCGGGGCUCAACCCCGGGACUGCAUUGGGAACUGCCCUGCUGGAGUGCCGGAGGGGCAGGCGGAAUUCCUAGUGUAGCGGUGAAAUGCGUAGAUAUUAGGAGGAACACCAGUGGCGAAGGCGGCCUGCUGGACGGUGACUGACGCUGUGGCUCGAAAGCGUGGGGAGCAAACAGG